This 509-nucleotide small RNA is filed under the name Pongo abelii (Sumatran orangutan). RNAcentral describes it as "retained intron". Lineage: Eukaryota; Metazoa; Chordata; Mammalia; Primates; Hominidae. The record is from RNAcentral.
CUGCCCUGGAUAGGAUAGAAGGUUCCUUUCUUCCUACCCCUUGGAGCCCUGUUACUAGUUCCUCCCAGGAGGAGAGCAGGUUUCCUGGUCUUGGAAGACUUGACUUCCCAUAGCCCUAGUUUAGGGGAGGAGCACGAGGUGGGAAGUUGUGGUAGAGGAAGGAUGCCAGCUUCACGGGUCCUAGUCUGGGUUCUGGAUCCCAGCCUCUGCCUUCUGAACCCCUUCUCGGGCAGGGACAUGACCUCUGUGCUGAAGCAGGAUCGGGAGCGGCUCCGAGCCAUGCAGAAGCAGCAGCCUCGGUUUUCUGAGGACCAGCGGCGGGAACUGGGCGCUGUGCACUCCUGGGUCCGGAAGGGCCAACUGCCUCGGGCUCUUGAUGUGAUGGCCUGUGUGGACUGUGGGAGCAGCACCCAAGAGCCUGGUCACCCCGAUGACCCACUCUUCUCAGAGCUGGAUGGACUGGGGCUGGAGCCCAUGGAAGAGGGUGGAGGCGAGCAGGGCAGCAGCGG